Molecule: ribosomal RNA, 497 nt
Filed under: uncultured bacterium
Lineage: Bacteria
Description: partial 16S ribosomal RNA
Rfam family: Bacterial small subunit ribosomal RNA
Source: RNAcentral
GAUGAACGCUGGCGGCGUGCCUAAUACAUGCAAGUCGAGCGAACGGACGAGAAGCUUGCUUCUCUGAUGUUAGCGGCGGACGGGUGAGUAACACGUGGAUAACCUACCUAUAAGACUGGGAUAACUUCGGGAAACCGUAGCUAAUACCGGAUAAUAUUUUGAACCGCAUGGUUCAAAAGUGAAAGACGGUCUUGCUGUCACUUAUAGAUGGAUCCGCGCUGCAUUAGCUAGUUGGUAAGGUAACGGCUUACCAAGGCGACGAUGCAUAGCCGACCUGAGAGGGCGAUCGGCCACACUGGAACUGAGACACGGCCCAGACUCCUACGGGAGGCAGCAGUAGGGAAUCUUCCGCAAUGGGCGAAAGCCUGACCGAGCAACGCCGCGUGAGUGAAGAAGGUCUUCGGAUCGUAAAACGCUUUUAUUAGGGAAGAACAGAUGUGUGAGAAUACGUGGACCUCUUGACGGUACCUAAAGAAAAAGCCACGGCUAACUACGUG